AUUGAUCGCUGGCGUCAGGCUUAACACAUGCAAGUCGAACUAGUGUCGAACGGGUUAGUAAUAUAUUGGAACUUACCGAGUAAUGGGGGAUACCCAAUCGAAAGAUUGGCUAAUACCGCAUAUUAUUCGAGCGGCCUAUAUCUGAUUAGCUAGUUGGUGGGGUAAAGGCCUACCAAGGCGACGAUCAGUAGCGGGUCUGAGUGGAUGAUCCGCCACACUGGGACUGAGACGCGGCCCAGACUCCUACGGGAGGCAGAAGUGGGGAAUUUUGGACAAUGGGCGCAAGCCUGAUCCAGCCAUGCCGAGUGUCUGAAGAAGGCCUUCGGGUUGUAAAGGACUUUUGUUAGGGAAGCGGUACCUAAAGAAUAAGCACCGGCUAACUACGUGCCAGCAGCCGCGGUAAUAA
Molecule: ribosomal RNA, 406 nt
Filed under: uncultured bacterium
Lineage: Bacteria
Description: partial 16S ribosomal RNA
Rfam family: Bacterial small subunit ribosomal RNA
Source: RNAcentral